Molecule: small nuclear RNA, 57 nt
Filed under: Pan troglodytes (chimpanzee)
Lineage: Eukaryota; Metazoa; Chordata; Mammalia; Primates; Hominidae
Also listed under: 2 other names
Source: RNAcentral
GUGCUUGCUUCAGCAGCACAUAUGCUAAAAUUGGCACAACACAGAGAAGAUUAGCAU